Molecule: ribosomal RNA, 112 nt
Filed under: uncultured bacterium
Lineage: Bacteria
Description: partial 16S ribosomal RNA
Rfam family: Bacterial small subunit ribosomal RNA
Source: RNAcentral
CUCCCGGGCCUUGUACACACCGCCCGUCACACCACGAAAGUCGGUAACACCCGAAGCCAGUGGCCCAACCGUAAGGAGGGAGCUGUCGAAGGUGGGAUCGGUGAUUGGGGUG